Molecule: ribosomal RNA, 253 nt
Filed under: uncultured bacterium
Lineage: Bacteria
Description: partial 16S ribosomal RNA
Rfam family: Bacterial small subunit ribosomal RNA
Source: RNAcentral
UACGUAGGGGGCUAGCGUUGUCCGGAUUUAUUGGGCGUAAAGAGCGUGUAGGCGGCCAGGUAGGUCUGCUGUGAAAACUCGAGGCUCAACCUCGAGACGUCGGCGGAAACCAUCUGGCUAGAGUCCGGAAGAGGAGAGUGGAAUUCCUGGUGUAGCGGUGAAAUGCGCAGAUAUCAGGAAGAACACCCGUGGCGAAGGCGGCUCUCUGGGACGGUAUUGACGCUGAGGCGCGAAAGCUAGGGGAGCGAACGGG